Molecule: long non-coding RNA, 599 nt
Organism: Schistocerca piceifrons (Central American locust)
Lineage: Eukaryota; Metazoa; Arthropoda; Insecta; Orthoptera; Acrididae
Exons: 4
Source: RefSeq, a predicted model, not a curated record
AGUAACUGUCCCCCAUGGAAUUCUGUGUGGUAGAGGGAGGCAUUUUUUAGUAGAGUUUCCUGAAAUCUUAGUGAGUGCUUCAGAAGAGAUGGAAAACCAUCCUUGGAAAUGAUCCCAUGAGAGUAUUUUUUCCAUUUAAUUAAUACAGCUUGCCAUGCAGUUUUCAUCGGUCUCAAGAAGCCUACAUCCAACAACUGGAGAAGCCGAAUCCACUCAUUAUGAAGAAAUGUGGUUAAGGUUCAUUUAGGUAUAGCCCAAAUGCUCAGCUUUAUUUAUUAUAUACUGAACAUUCUGCUAGGAACGGAUCCAUCUACUUCUGGGGUGCACAUAACAAGCAAACAAAAAUGUAGUACACAAGUAAAUGAAGAGGGACUAUUCUACUCUCUGAACAUACUAUCUCAAUCAAAGUGACUCCAGUGACCAUGACUUCUCUCAUGCGUCCGACGAUGAUCCAGCUUGCAAUCCUCAAGAUUAAAGAUCCUCUUUGGGCUUAAAUGUGGGUGAUGAUGCCUCCUAUUCUGAUGAGACUCAUGAUAGCAUAUGUAACUCUGAUAAUUGUAUUGGCACUGAUGAAAAUUAUAAGCCAGUUUGGAAUCCAA